This 73-nucleotide transfer RNA is filed under the name Clostridiales bacterium. Its description in RNAcentral is "tRNA-Met". It matches the Rfam family "tRNA". From Rfam's summary of the family: Transfer RNA (tRNA) molecules are approximately 80 nucleotides in length. Lineage: Bacteria; Bacillati; Bacillota; Clostridia; Eubacteriales. The record is from RNAcentral.
GGCGGAGUAGCUCAGUGGCCAGAGCAGUGGAUCCAUAAUCCAUUGGUCGGGGGUUCAAAUCCCCCCUCCGCUA